GGGAAUAUAGCUCAGUUGGGAGAGCGCUACGUUGACAUCGUAGAGGUCAGUGGUUCGAACCCACUUAUUCCCACCA
Molecule: transfer RNA, 76 nt
Filed under: Halanaerobacter jeridensis
Lineage: Bacteria; Bacillati; Bacillota; Clostridia; Halanaerobiales; Halobacteroidaceae
Description: tRNA-Val
Rfam family: tRNA
About the family: Transfer RNA (tRNA) molecules are approximately 80 nucleotides in length. Their secondary structure includes four short double-helical elements and three loops (D, anti-codon, and T loops).
Source: RNAcentral